UCUCCGUUGGUGAACCAGCGGAGGGAUCAUUACAGAGUUGCAAAACUCCCAAACCAUUGUGAACGUUACCUAUCCCGUUGCUUCGGCGGGCGGCCCGGGCCCCGCGCCCGGCGCCCCCCGGCCCCCCGUGGGCGCCCGCCGGAGGUAAACCGAACCCUUGAACUGCAUGGCCUCUCUGAGUCUUCUGUACUGAAUAAGUCAAAACUUUCAACAACGGAUCUCAUGGUUCUG
Molecule: unclassified non-coding RNA, 231 nt
Filed under: plant metagenome
Description: partial contains small subunit ribosomal RNA, internal transcribed spacer 1, and 5.8S ribosomal RNA
Source: RNAcentral